CAGUCGCCGCGGUAAUACAGAGGAUGCAAGCGUUAUCCGGAAUGAUUGGGCGUAAAGCGUCUGUAGGUGGCUUUUCAAGUCCGCCGUCAAAUCCCAGGGCUCAACCCUGGACAGGCGGUGGAAACUACCAAGCUGGAGUACGGUAGGGGCAGAGGGAAUUUCCGGUGGAGCGGUCAAAUGCGUCGAGAUCGGAAAGAACAUCAACGGCGAAAGCACUCUGCUGGGCCGACACUGACACUGAGAGACGAAAGCUAGGGGAGCAAAUGGGAUUAGAUACCCGGGUAGUCCCUGUCUCUUAUAC
This 301-nucleotide ribosomal RNA is filed under the name uncultured bacterium. Its description in RNAcentral is "partial 16S ribosomal RNA". It matches the Rfam family "Bacterial small subunit ribosomal RNA", at positions 509 to 807 of the family's 1533-position model. The record is from RNAcentral.